GUUUUCGGGUAAUUGCGGUCUAAUAUUGAUUAGGCUGAGGAAAGUCCAUGCUCGCACAGUCUGAGAUGUCUGUAGUGUUCGUGCUUAGCGAAAUCAUAAGCUAAGGUAUCUUUUUAAUAAGAUAACGGCAGAAAAAACAGCUAAAGUUUUUAAACCAUGCUGGAGUAUUCUUGAAAGUGCCACAGUGACGAAGUAAUUUUAGAAAUGAAAUUAGUGGAACGCGGUAAACCCCUCGAGCGAGCAACCCAAACAAUGGUAGGGGCACUCUUCUUAAGGAAUUCAACGAGGAGAAGAGACAAGUAAUUUGUAGAUAGAUAAUUACCAGUCUUAUUUUUGCCUGAAAAAAUAAGACUACAGAACAUGGCUUAUAGAA
RNAcentral lists this RNase P RNA (373 nucleotides) under Vagococcus entomophilus. RNAcentral's name for it is "Bacterial RNase P class B". It matches the Rfam family "Bacterial RNase P class B". From Rfam's summary of the family: Ribonuclease P (RNase P) is a ubiquitous endoribonuclease, found in archaea, bacteria and eukarya as well as chloroplasts and mitochondria. The record is from Rfam by way of RNAcentral. Lineage: Bacteria; Bacillati; Bacillota; Bacilli; Lactobacillales; Enterococcaceae.